Molecule: ribosomal RNA, 730 nt
Filed under: uncultured bacterium
Lineage: Bacteria
Description: bacterial SSU rRNA
Rfam family: Bacterial small subunit ribosomal RNA
Source: RNAcentral
UGCAGUCGAGCGAUGAAACUUUAACAGAACCCUUCGGGGCGAAGAUAAAGUGGAUUAGCGGCGGACGGGUGAGUAACACGUGAGUAACCUGCCUUAGACAUUGGGAUAGCCUCGGGAAACCGGGAUUAAUACCAAAUAAAAUUAUAAUGACACAUGUCAUAACGAUCAAAACUCCGGUGGUCUAAGAUGGACUCGCGUCCCAUUAGCUAGUUGGUAGAGUAAAAGCCUACCAAGGCGACGAUGGGUAGCCGGCCUGAGAGGGUGAACGGCCACAUUGGAACUGAGAAACGGUCCAAACUCCUACGGGAGGCAGCAGUGGGGAAUAUUGCACAAUGGAGGGAACUCUGAUGCAGCGACGCCGCGUGAACGAAGAAGGCUUUCGAGUCGUAAAGUUCUUUUAUAUGGGAAGAUAAUGACGGUACCAUAAGAAAAAGCCCCGGCUAACUACGUGCCAGCAGCCGCGGUAAUACGUAGGGGGCUAGCGUUGUCCGGAAUCACUGGGCGUAAAGGGUUCGCAGGCGGAAAUGCAAGUCAGAUGUAAAAGGCAGUAGCUUAACUACUGUAAGCAUUUGAAACUGCAUAUCUUGAGAAGAGUAGAGGUAAGUGGAAUUUUUAGUGUAGCGGUGAAAUGCGUAGAUAUUAAAAAGAAUACCGGUGGCGAAAGGCGACUUACUGGGCUCAUUCUGACGCUGAGGAACGAAAGCGUGGGUAGCAAACAGGAUUAGAUACC